Drosophila virilis is the source of this 386-nucleotide non-coding RNA. Lineage: Eukaryota; Metazoa; Arthropoda; Insecta; Diptera; Drosophilidae. The record is from RefSeq and is a predicted model, not a curated record.
CAUUUUUUAACUUUCCUUGACUUUUUAAAUUAAGGAUAAUUUAAUGUACAAGCAUUCAAGAAACUUUCUCUAAGGUAAUUAGCUAGUCGGGCAAUCUUGACUAGUACUUUCAUUAAUUAUGCUUUUUCUAGCUCUUUGUGCAAAACCGCAUAGAGCUAACUGACAGGUAACCCGUCAGUCGGCUUUUUACUUUGGCAUCUGAAAGCACACUGAACAUUUAACUGGAAUCGUAUGGAAUAUUAUAUUUGAGAAUCAUAUGUAUUUUCUUCAUAUGGUAUAUUCAUAUCUGUCGCGAUUAUACACAUAUAUUUUGGAAAGUAUGUUAAAACCUGAACAGCACACAACAUUAACAUUUCAAUAAACAUUUAUCGAUUUACUAUAUUAAA